Molecule: unclassified non-coding RNA, 3521 nt
Filed under: Hevea brasiliensis (rubber tree)
Lineage: Eukaryota; Viridiplantae; Streptophyta; Magnoliopsida; Malpighiales; Euphorbiaceae
Source: RNAcentral
GAGAGAGAGAGAGAGAGAGCUCUUAUGUUAAAAAAAGGGUCUCCGUUUGCUACUGAUAUAUUACUCCUUCAAAUCUACAUCGCUCCUUCGAAAUCCUACCCGACCAAUGCCACCGCUGCCGCCGUCUACCGACCUCCGCCGCGUGAACCAGCGGAUUUGGCGGGCCUGCGCGGGGUCAUCGGUUCAUAUCCCUACCUUCAAUUCUAGGGUUUACUACUUCCCUCAAGGCCACCUCGAGCAAUCCUCCCCUUCUGCUUCUCCUGCUCUCCUUUCUACUCUUGCUCUCUCCAGACCUUUAAUCCUUUGCCAAAUCUCCGCUGUUCAAUUCCUUGCGGAUCCUGUUACUGAUGAGGUGUACGCGAAACUGCUUCUUUUUCCUAUUGAUCCUUCAUUGAACCAUUCUCUUCCCCUCCUGGAACCUUGUGGAUGCCUCGAGCGAGAAGGCAGAGAUGAUGAUGAGGAUAAGAUUGUGGCGUUUGCGAAGGUUUUGACUCCCUCUGAUGCCAAUAAUGGUGGCGGUUUCUCUGUUCCAAGGUUUUGUGCGGACUCCAUAUUCCCGCCUUUGAACUACCAAGCGGACCCGCCUGUCCAAACCCUAACAGUUACCGACAUUCAUGGCGUUUCUUGGAAUUUUAGGCACAUUUAUCGAGGGUCACCACGCAGGCACUUGUUAACAACCGGGUGGAGUAAGUUCGUGAACCACAAGAAGUUGAUCGCUGGUGAUUCGGUGGUUUUCAUGAGGAAUUUGGCGGGAAAUAUGUUUAUUGGAGUGCGCAGGGCUGUGAGGUCGAACAAUGAUGAGGAUUGCUCUAGGUGGCGGGAGCAGAUUGGUUGCGUGACUGGUGAUGUGAAAAUGAAGGUGAAGGAGGAGGGGUUCUCGAGGAGCGUGAGAGGUAGAGUGUCGCAGGAGGCUGUCUUGGCGGCAGUAGAGAGGGCAGCGCAGGGUUUGCCAUUUGAGGUGGUGUAUUAUCCGAGGGCCGGUUGGUUCUCAGAUUUCGUGGUGAGGGCUGAGGUGGUGGAGCGAGCGCUCAGUGUGUUUUGGACGGCUGGGAUGAGAGUGCAGAUGGAAAUGGAGACGGAGGACUCGUCCCGGAUGACAAGGUUUCAGGGUACAGUUUCAUCUGCUGCUGUGCGAGACUGUGGGCCGUGGCGAGGCUCUCCUUGGCGCAUGCUUCAGAUUGCGUGGGAUGAACCUGAAGUUCUGCAAAAUGCAAAGAAAGUGAGCCCUUGGCAGGUCGAAUUUGUUGCACCCACACCACCACUUCAAGCUGCAUUCCCUCCUGUGAAAAGAUUCAAAAUUCCUGAAAAUUCUGGGUUGCUGACAGAUGGAGAUGGAAAACUGUUCUUUCCUAUGUCAGGACAAAGUAAUUCAACAGUGGGGAACAUGAAUGAGUCAUUGUUGAAUUAUAACACUUUUCCUGCUGGCAUGCAGGGAGCCAGGCAAAAUCCUUUUCCCACUUUUGGUUUAUCCAACUUCUUACGUGAGAAUGCUUCUCAAAUAUGCCCUGAUAAUGUCUUUGGUAGCAAGAUGGUUCAAAAACUGAAAACCGUAUCUACUGAGCUGACCAUUGGCAGUUCACAGUCUGACAACUUAUCCCUAGAUAGUCAGAGUAGCAUGCAUUCUUUUGGUUCAGAACUUGUUGCAAACCCAGGAAGCAGCUCAACAAAAGCUGGUAUUAGUUCAGUUCAGUUAUUCGGUAGGAUCAUUCAUGUGAACCAGCCUGUUGGAAGUGGUUUUGAUGAUGAUGGCUGCAUGGAAGAUUGUGGCAGUAAAGAGUACAAUGAAAACAAUCCGCUAGACCUUGCAUUAGCAUCAGCAUCCUCUUACACAGAGCUGCUCAACAGGAUUGAUGUCCAAUGCCAAUGAACAUCAAUGGUUGAAACUUGCUCUUUAUGAACUAGUAUUUGUGAAAUGUUAGGCAGAUAAGUAGCUGUACAGGUAUGAGUACCUCUGAAUAACCUACUGUAAUCCCCUUUCUUGUCCAAUUUGAUUACAAGCUUCAAUUCCAAGACAUUGAAGUCUUAUCCCAAAUGUUCUCCAUUUAGCUUUGAUAGCACAACAUUGUUGAUCAUAUGACAUGAUUCUCUAGAGUUUUUAUUCAUUUGUGUUGAUGCAUUUUGGAUAUUAUAAUUAUGCCAAAAUUUUAUCAUUUGCCUGUCAUUUGUGCUGGAUUUGGGGGGCUGGCCUAGUGUCACAAGUAACUUUCAUUAAUGGUGCUUCUUACGCUUCCUUGCAAUCUACAUUGAAGUAUUCAAAAUCUGUCUAAAUGUUGGUUAAUUUCUUACUUCAAACCAGUCUGUAUCGUAUUAUGUCCACAUUUGAGUUUGUUUUCAUUAUCAAUGUGGUCUAGUUGCUGCAGUUGUUAAAGUUGUAUUUACACUCUGAAUUUAUUUCAUCAUGUUCCCAAAAGGUGCUUUAAAGUGUGAUAUCAAGGCAUAUUCUCAUCUUUGUACCUAGGUACUACCAUACUAGUUUAUUUUUGGUUGCAGUGUUCUAUCUUACAGAAGCGUAACAUGUUUGCGUGCUAUGUGCUAUGAGCUUAUUGACUACAUAACUCCAGAAAACAGUAAGUCAAGUGUGUCAAAUUAUGUUAUCCUAAAAUGAACCUGAAUGCCAUUUGUUUAACCACAUAUAAGGACUCAGGAAAUUAAUGGAUUGAGUGAACUGUCAAUUGUCAGCAGAAGGUUCAAAUUUUUCAGGUUGGCAAGUUCGUUGAAAACUUCGGAGGCUCCAUUCGAUUGAAAGAAAGUGUGGAGGAAAAAAAUAAAAGAAAAUUGUUUUUAUUCUUUUUUGGCAUUCGAGUAUCACAAAAGGACCUUGCCACCACACACAACAAAAAUUGUUCCAUAUACUUCAUCCCAUAGCGAGCUCUCUUGCUAGACACGCCUUUUUAAUGAACAACUAAAGCAAUGAAUUUGCAGUUAUUUAUUUUUAUAGCUGCAAACCACCUUGUUAUGGUGAUAGUUUAUUGGUUUGGUUAUGCUUGAAGUUUCUUUUUUUUCCUCAGAUUGAACGUUUGUUUGUUUAUCCUUGGAUUGAGUGUGAACAAAGUUGUGGGAGCUCAAAAAAAUACGGCCUUAGUUUAGUUUAAAUGGCCGCAUUUCUAUCAAUACGAAAUUCCUGAGCUUUUUUAAUUCAUGUUUCCUUCAUUAUGGAAUUCCUAACAUUCUUUAUUGGUACAUUUUUGUAGGUACUACAAGCAGGCAGCAAGCUGACUUCUUAUUGGACCCUGCCAGUAGUAACUAUUGUGUGUUUUCUUUAGUCAGCGAUGUUGGAACUCGGACAAUUGUAAACAUAGUAUUUGUUUAAAUCAAGUAUUGAACGUUUGUGUGGCAAAUACAUACUGUUUGAGAGAUCAUAUUUCUUAGUUGCUUUAUCUAGUUUUGUUUCAUCACAAUGGCUGCGGAACAACUGGGUUUUCCCUAUGACAUGACCUGAAAAAAGAGGGGAUUACCUGCACCGAUGGUUAUGGGAAAAUGAUGCACGUUCAGAAGAUUAGGACCAUGUGCUGAUUCCCAUC